AUACGGAGGAUGCAAGCGUUAUCCGGAUUUAUUGGGUUUAAAGGGUGCGUAGGCUGUUCAGAAAGUCAGGGGUGAAAGCCCGGCGCCUAACGCCGGAACUGCCUUUGAUACUUCCGAGCUGGAAUACGGAUGCCGUGGGAGGAAUGAGUAGUGUAGCGGUGAAAUGCAUAGAUAUUACUCAGAACACCGAUUGCGAAGGCAUCUCACGAAUCCGUCAUUGACGCUGAGGCACGAAAGCGUGGGGAUCAAACAGGAUUAGAUACCCUGGUAGUCCACGCAGUAAACGAUGAUGACUAACCGUCGGCGAUACACAGUCGGUGGCCAAGCGAAAGCGAUAAGUCAUCCACCUGGGGAGUACGUUCGCAAGAAUGAAACUCAAAGGAAUUGACGGGG
Molecule: ribosomal RNA, 393 nt
Filed under: uncultured bacterium
Lineage: Bacteria
Description: partial 16S ribosomal RNA
Rfam family: Bacterial small subunit ribosomal RNA
Source: RNAcentral